Small nucleolar RNA from Suncus etruscus (white-toothed pygmy shrew), 223 nucleotides. RefSeq annotates it as small nucleolar RNA U3. NCBI's taxonomy places the organism in Eukaryota, Metazoa, Chordata, Mammalia, Eulipotyphla, Soricidae. The record is from RefSeq and is a predicted model, not a curated record. The transcript has a single exon.
AAGACUAUACUUUCAGAGAUCAUUCUAUAGUAUAUGACUAGAGAUCAUGUAGUUCAAAUGACUCUGAUCAUGUAGAGCACCCGAUGCCAUGAUGAGGAGGCAGAGCAUCCUUUCCUGAGCAUGAAGCUAGCUCUAGGUGUUGUUUCUGUGACUUUUUGGCCAUUGAUGAUCAUUCUUCCUUUUCUGUGGAAAGAAUAGAAGGAGAGGAUGCAGUCUGAGUGGA